UGGUCUCAAACUCCUGGGCUCAAGUGAUC
This 29-nucleotide non-coding RNA is filed under the name Callithrix jacchus (white-tufted-ear marmoset). The record is from RNAcentral. Lineage: Eukaryota; Metazoa; Chordata; Mammalia; Primates; Cebidae. RNAcentral also lists the same sequence under 1 other name.